Molecule: long non-coding RNA, 837 nt
Filed under: Homo sapiens (human)
Lineage: Eukaryota; Metazoa; Chordata; Mammalia; Primates; Hominidae
Description: non-protein coding lnc-ZNF720-5:3
Source: RNAcentral
AAAAAUUGUGCGAGAAGGCAAAGGAAAUUUUAACAAAAGGAUCAGAUGUGCAAGAGGUUCGUUGCCCUGAUACUGUCUGUGGAGAUGUGCAUGGUCAAUUACAUGAUCUUAUGGAACUCUUUAGAAUUGGUGGAAAAUCACCAGAUACAAACUACUUAUUAAUGGGUGACUAUGUAGACAGAGGAUAUUAUUCAGUGGAGACUGUGACUCUUCUUGUAGCAUUCAUUAUCCAGAAUGCAUUACAAUAUUGAGAGGAAAUCACAAAAGCCAACAAAUUACCCAAGUAUAUGGCUUUUAUGAUGAAUGUCCGCGAAAGUAUGGGAAUGCCAAUGUUUGAAAAUACUUUACAGAUCUCUUUGAUUAUCUUCCACUUAUAACUUUAGUAGAUGGACAGAUAUUCUGCCUCCAUGGUGGCCUGUCUCCAUCCACAUACACACUGGAUCAUAUAAGAGCCCUGGGUCAUUUACAAGAAGUUCCACAUGAGGGCCCAAUGUAUGAUCUAUUACGGUCAGAUCCAGAUGAUCGUGGUGGAUGGGGUAUUUCACCCUGUGUGCUGGCUACACAUUUGGACAAGACAUUUCUGAAACCUUUAACCAUGCCAAUGGUCUCACACUGGUUUCUCGUGCCCACCAGCUUGUAAUGGAGGGAUACCAUUGGUGUCAUGAUCAGAAUGUGGUUACUAUUUUCAGUGCACCCAAUUACUGUUAUUGUUGUGGUAACCAGGCUGCGAUCAUGGAACUAGAUGACGCUUUAAGAUAUUCCUUCCUUCAGUUUGACCCAGCACUUUGUUGUGGCGAGCCUCAUGUUACACAGCACACCCCAGACUACUUCCUAUAA